AUGAGGCGAACCGGGGGAACUGAAACAUCUAAGUACCCCGAGGAAAAGAAAUCAACCGAGAUUCCCCCAGUAGCGGCGAGCGAACGGGGAGGAGCCCAGAGCCUGAAUCAGCAUGUGUGUUAGUGGAAGCGUCUGGAAAGGCGCGCGAUACAGGGUGACAGCCCCGUACACAAAAGCGCAUGUGCUGUGAGCUCGAUGAGUAGGGCGGGACACGUGGUAUCCUGUCUGAAUAUGGGGGGACCAUCCUCCAAGGCUAAAUACUCCUGACUGACCGAUAGUGAACCAGUACCGUGAGGGAAAGGCGAAAAGAACCCCGGCGAGGGGAGUGAAAAAGAACCUGAAACCGUGUACGUACAAGCAGUGGGAGCACCCUUUGGGGUGUGACUGCGUACCUUUUGUAUAAUGGGUCAGCGACUUAUAUUCUGUAGCAAGGUUAACCGAAUAGGGGAGCCGGAGGGAAACCGAGUCUUAAUUGGGCGUUAAGUUGCAGGGUAUAGACCCGAAACCCGGUGAUCUAGCCAUGGGCAGGUUGAAGGUUGGGUAACACUAACUGGAGGACCGAACCGACUAAUGUUGAAAAAUUAGCGGAUGACCUGUGGCUGGGGGUGAAAGGCCAAUCAAACCGGGAGAUAGCUGGUUCUCCCCGAAAGCUAUUUAGGUAGCGCCUCGUGAAUUCAUCUCCGGGGGUAGAGCACUGUUUCGGCUAGGGGGCCAUCCCGGCUUACCAACCCGAUGCAAACUGCGAAUACCGGAGAAUGUUAUCACGGGAGACACACGGCGGGUGCUAACGUCCGUCGUGAAGAGGGAAACAACCCAGACCGCCAGCUAAGGUCCCAAAGUCAUGGUUAAGUGGGAAACGAUGUGGGAAGGCCCAGACAGCCAGGAUGUUGGCUUAGAAGCAGCCAUCAUUUAAAGAAAGCGUAAUAGCUCACUGGUCGAGUCGGCCUGCGCGGAAGAUGUAACGGGGCUAAACCAUG
This 977-nucleotide ribosomal RNA is filed under the name Salmonella enterica subsp. enterica serovar Javiana. RNAcentral's name for it is "partial 23S ribosomal RNA". It matches the Rfam family "Bacterial large subunit ribosomal RNA", at positions 174 to 1191 of the family's 2925-position model. The record is from RNAcentral. Lineage: Bacteria; Pseudomonadati; Pseudomonadota; Gammaproteobacteria; Enterobacterales; Enterobacteriaceae.